RNAcentral lists this ribosomal RNA (1504 nucleotides) under Staphylococcus aureus. RNAcentral's name for it is "partial 16S ribosomal RNA". It matches the Rfam family "Bacterial small subunit ribosomal RNA". Lineage: Bacteria; Bacillati; Bacillota; Bacilli; Caryophanales; Staphylococcaceae. The record is from RNAcentral.
UGCUCAGGAUGAACGCUGGCGGCGUGCCUAAUACAUGCAAGUCGAGCGAACGGACGAGAAGCUUGCUUCUCUGAUGUUAGCGGCGGACGGGUGAGUAACACGUGGAUAACCUACCUAUAAGACUGGGAUAACUUCGGGAAACCGGAGCUAAUACCGGAUAAUAUUUUGAACCGCAUGGUUCAAAAGUGAAAGACGGUCUUGCUGUCACUUAUAGAUGGAUCCGCGCUGCAUUAGCUAGUUGGUAAGGUAACGGCUUACCAAGGCAACGAUGCAUAGCCGACCUGAGAGGGUGAUCGGCCACACUGGAACUGAGACACGGUCCAGACUCCUACGGGAGGCAGCAGUAGGGAAUCUUCCGCAAUGGGCGAAAGCCUGACGGAGCAACGCCGCGUGAGUGAUGAAGGUCUUCGGAUCGUAAAACUCUGUUAUUAGGGAAGAACAUAUGUGUAAGUAACUGUGCACAUCUUGACGGUACCUAAUCAGAAAGCCACGGCUAACUACGUGCCAGCAGCCGCGGUAAUACGUAGGUGGCAAGCGUUAUCCGGAAUUAUUGGGCGUAAAGCGCGCGUAGGCGGUUUUUUAAGUCUGAUGUGAAAGCCCACGGCUCAACCGUGGAGGGUCAUUGGAAACUGGAAAACUUGAGUGCAGAAGAGGAAAGUGGAAUUCCAUGUGUAGCGGUGAAAUGCGCAGAGAUAUGGAGGAACACCAGUGGCGAAGGCGACUUUCUGGUCUGUAACUGACGCUGAUGUGCGAAAGCGUGGGGAUCAAACAGGAUUAGAUACCCUGGUAGUCCACGCCGUAAACGAUGAGUGCUAAGUGUUAGGGGGUUUCCGCCCCUUAGUGCUGCAGCUAACGCAUUAAGCACUCCGCCUGGGGAGUACGACCGCAAGGUUGAAACUCAAAGGAAUUGACGGGGACCCGCACAAGCGGUGGAGCAUGUGGUUUAAUUCGAAGCAACGCGAAGAACCUUACCAAAUCUUGACAUCCUUUGACAACUCUAGAGAUAGAGCCUUCCCCUUCGGGGGACAAAGUGACAGGUGGUGCAUGGUUGUCGUCAGCUCGUGUCGUGAGAUGUUGGGUUAAGUCCCGCAACGAGCGCAACCCUUAAGCUUAGUUGCCAUCAUUAAGUUGGGCACUCUAAGUUGACUGCCGGUGACAAACCGGAGGAAGGUGGGGAUGACGUCAAAUCAUCAUGCCCCUUAUGAUUUGGGCUACACACGUGCUACAAUGGACAAUACAAAGGGCAGCGAAACCGCGAGGUCAAGCAAAUCCCAUAAAGUUGUUCUCAGUUCGGAUUGUAGUCUGCAACUCGACUACAUGAAGCUGGAAUCGCUAGUAAUCGUAGAUCAGCAUGCUACGGUGAAUACGUUCCCGGGUCUUGUACACACCGCCCGUCACACCACGAGAGUUUGUAACACCCGAAGCCGGUGGAGUAACCUUUUAGGAGCUAGCCGUCGAAGGUGGGACAAAUGAUUGGGGUGAAGUCGUAACNNNNNUAGCCGUA